AAUGAACGUUGGCGGCGUGGAUUAGGCAUGCAAGUCGUGCGCGAAACGUAGCAAUACGUGGAGAGCGGCGAAAGGGAGAGUAAUGCAUGGUUAGCUACCCUCGGGACUGGGAUAGCGGCGGGAAACUGCCGGUAAUACCAGAUGAUGUCUUCGGACCAAACGUGUAAACCGGCCCGAGGAGGUGACCAUGUCCUAUCAGCUUGUUGGCGGGGUAACGGCCCACCAAGGCAAAGACGGGAUGGGGC
This 245-nucleotide ribosomal RNA is filed under the name uncultured bacterium. RNAcentral's name for it is "partial 16S ribosomal RNA". It matches the Rfam family "Bacterial small subunit ribosomal RNA", at positions 29 to 290 of the family's 1533-position model. The record is from RNAcentral.